UCGAACGCUUUUUCUUUCCCGGAGCUUGCUCCACCGAAAGAAAAAGAGUGGCGAACGGGUGAGUAACACGUGGGUAACCUGCCCAUCAGAAGGGGAUAACACUUGGAAACAGGUGCUAAUACCGUAUAACACUAUUUUCCGCAUGGAAGAAAGUUGAAAGGCGCUUUUGCGUCACUGAUGGAUGGACCCGCGGUGCAUUAGCUAGUUGGUGAGGUAACGGCUCACCAAGGCAACGAUGCAUAGCCGACCUGAGAGGGUGAUCGGCCACACUGGGACUGAGACACGGCCCAGACUCCUACGGGAGGCAGCAGUAGGGAAUCUUCGGCAAUGGACGAAAGUCUGACCGAGCAACGCCGCGUGAGUGAAGAAGGUUUUCGGAUCGUAAAACUCUGUUGUUAGAGAAGAACAAGGAUGAGAGUAAAACGUUCAUCCCUUGACGGUAUCUAACCAGAAAGCCACGGCUAACUACGUGCCAGCAGCCGCGGUAAUACGUAGGUGGCAAGCGUUGUCCGGAUUUAUUGGGCGUAAAGCGAGCGCAGGCGGUUUCUUAAGUCUGAUGUGAAAGCCCCCGGCUCAACCGGGGAGGGUCAUUGGAAACUGGGAGACUUGAGUGCAGAAGAGGAGAGUGGAAUUCCAUGUGUAGCGGUGAAAUGCGUAGAUAUAUGGAGGAACACCAGUGGCGAAGGCGGCUCUCUGGUCUGUAACUGACGCUGAGGCUCGAAAGCGUGGGGAGCGAACAGGAUUAGAUACCCUGGUAGUCCACGCCGUAAACGAUGAGUGCU
RNAcentral lists this ribosomal RNA (782 nucleotides) under Enterococcus gallinarum. Its description in RNAcentral is "bacterial SSU rRNA". It matches the Rfam family "Bacterial small subunit ribosomal RNA", at positions 62 to 817 of the family's 1533-position model. The record is from RNAcentral. Lineage: Bacteria; Bacillati; Bacillota; Bacilli; Lactobacillales; Enterococcaceae.